This 451-nucleotide ribosomal RNA is filed under the name uncultured bacterium. RNAcentral describes it as "bacterial SSU rRNA". It matches the Rfam family "Bacterial small subunit ribosomal RNA", at positions 29 to 524 of the family's 1533-position model. The record is from RNAcentral.
AACGAACGCUGGCGGCAGGCCUAACACAUGCAAGUCGAACGCCCUAGCAAUAGGGAGUGGCAGACGGGUGAGUAACACGUGGGAACCUUCCCUAUAGUACGGAAUAGCUCAGGGAAACUUGAAGUAAUACCGUAUACGCCCGAGAGGGGAAAGAUUUAUCGCUAUAGGAUGGGCCCGCGUCGGAUUAGCUAGUUGGUGAGGUAAUGGCUCACCAAGGCGACGAUCCGUAGCUGGUUUGAGAGAACGACCAGCCACACUGGGACUGAGACACGGCCCAGACUCCUACGGGAGGCAGCAGUGGGGAAUAUUGGACAAUGGGCGCAAGCCUGAUCCAGCCAUGCCGCGUGAGUGAUGAAGGCCUUAGGGUUGUAAAGCUCUUUUAGCAGGGAAGAUAAAUGACUGUACCUGCAGAAUAAGCUCCGGCUAACUUCGUGCCAGCAGCCGCGGUAAU